Molecule: ribosomal RNA, 124 nt
Organism: Cavia aperea (Brazilian guinea pig)
Lineage: Eukaryota; Metazoa; Chordata; Mammalia; Rodentia; Caviidae
Source: Ensembl
AUCUACUGCCAUACCACCCUGAAUGUGGCCGAUCUUGUCUGAUCUCGGAAGCUAAGCAGGGUCGGACCUCCUUAGUCCUUGGGAGACAACUGGGAAUCUCAACAAUGCCUAGAGGCAAUAGAGA